AGAGCGAACGCUGGCGGCAGGCCUAACACAUGCAAGUCAAGCGCCCGUAGCAAUACGGGAGCGGCAGACGGGAUAGUAACACGUGGGAACGCGCCCUUCGGUUCGGAAUAACUCAGGGAAACUUGAGCUAAUACCGGAUACGCCCUUACGGGGAAAGAUUUAUUGCCGAAGGAACGGCCCGCGUCCGAUUAGCUAGUUGGUGAGGUAAUGGCUCACCAAGGCGACGAUCGGUAGCUGGUCUGAGAGGAUGACCAGCAUCACUGGGACUGAGACACGGCCCAGACUCCUACGGGAGGCAGCAGUGGGGAAUAUUGGACAAUGGGCGCAAGCCUGAUCCAGCCAUGCCGCGUGGAUGAUGAAGGCCUUAGGGUUGUAAAGUCCUUUUAACGGGGAAGAUAAUGACGGUACCCGUAGAAUAAGCCCCGGCUAACUUCGCGCCAGCAGCCGC
RNAcentral lists this ribosomal RNA (448 nucleotides) under uncultured bacterium. Its description in RNAcentral is "SSU rRNA". It matches the Rfam family "Bacterial small subunit ribosomal RNA", at positions 26 to 518 of the family's 1533-position model. The record is from RNAcentral.